AUGCCAUGUAUUGAAGUUAAGGCCAAAAAAAAGUUGUUAAAUUCUUGUCAGCAGAGCAUCCUUCUAGAUCAGGCUGGUUUCAGACAGCCUGAAAGCUCAGCAGAUGGCUCUUGCCCAGGUCUAAAUUUUCAUUCACUGCUUGGUUCUCUCGUAGGGUGGAACUGGAAACUGAUCUUUCUAGGGAAGUGGAGGAUGAGCAAGUGGAGCAUCGACGUGGGUGCAGAAUAUCAAUGCAUCACCCUGUGUCCUGGUUGCAGUGUUAACAGAUGGUUUGUUGUUCUGGGUGGGGAGAAGUGUUGUUGAUAAUGGGGCAUCAGUUGGCAGGCAGUUGUAUUGUUGGCUGGGUAUUGGUCAGCAGGUGGCAAUUAAUUGCAUUGUAGAGGUAGAUAUAUAUUUGUAAACACAUUUUUGUUUUGCUUUUCUAUCUCAGUAAAUAGUCUUUAUCUCAACUCAUGAGUUCUAUUUGGUUUCCCGUUCUCUCCCUCAUCCCACUUAGCAGGUGAAUGAGCUGUGUGGUGCUGAGCUGCUGCUGGGUUAAACCACAAUGCCCUUAUACCUUCAUCAGAAGAUCUGCGGGGACCCAGCAAUGUGUUCUCAUCAACUGAGAGAAACGUGGCACUAGCAACCGCACAGACUCCUUUGUUUAGUAUGGAAAGUUAGAUCAUUGUAAGAAAAACAUUUCCAUAGUUUCUGUAGUGUUAAAAGACAAAUAUGAAUGUCUUAAUCAGGGGCAAAAGUUUGCUGGCCUAUGAGUAACUUUGUUAUUCAAAACAAACUUGAUGGCAUUUGUGGUUGGACACAGUUUAGCUCUGUAUAUACAUCUCCUUAGUCUGCACAGGCUACAGAAAACGGACUAAUAAGAACCUCAUGUUGGUUAUAAUCCAAAUCCUAAUUUAAAGGUUUUUGUUGCCAGUGCAAGAUUAAACCUGUUUCUUCCUACUUAUUAAAAACGAUGCCAAAAUAAUUUAAAUCAGACUCAUAUGAUGGUAAAACUACAGGGAGCUCCAGUGGUAAUGUGUUGCUAUUGCAGUGUCACUGCUUACUGGUAUGGACUCUAAAACAUCAUCAGCUUGAAGUUAUUCAGCUCUAGUCUUUACCUGUAGUGCUGUUAUAGAGAAGGCUGUAUGAAAAGAUUCUGUACUCUGUCCAGAAAUGCUGUGUUUGUAGGAACACAAGGCCAGAAGGGAUACCAAAGUCAGUGCAUGUCAUAAUCAUAGUAAUGUGAAAACAGCAGUGAGUUCAAGGUGGUUCCCAGCACAGUAACUUCACUGACUCUUAGUACAGCAUCCGAGGAGCUACAGGGCAUUUCCUUGUAUCCUAGAAGAUUAGCAGCUGUAAUUAAAAAAAAAAAAAAAUCAGAUAGUAGAGUUCUAAUGCAUUAAAGAAGCUGAGGGAAUCACCAAAUGAUCUCCUGUGUAGUAACAAUGUACUUAAUAAACAGUAUCCUCAGAUAGUAUCAAUAGGCGCAGAACUGACAAUUAGCAUAAAACAAGUCUGCUUGUCCCAGUAACCUGACUUGUAGGAAAAAAUAGUUGUUCUUGAUCAUAAAUUUUCAGAUUAACUUGGUUGUAAUCAAGUUAACUUGUCCGAGAGCUGGAGAAGCCAGGAGAAUAAGUGCUUGCAUUAAGCGGAUGAUCUCCAUUUUCCAAGUGAGCACUGCCUUUUGUCUUUCUUCUUUGUCUUUGUACUCCCUAUUUAAUUGCAACACAACUGAAUGGUGUCCUAAAUUCCAUAGGUGGCCACAGUCAACUCUAAGUAUAAGAUUUAUGCUGUAAGUAAGAGUUAUAAUUAAGAUGUUUUAGUCCAGUCUUUUCAUUUUAUAAUGCAGAUUGGAUAUACAAAGGCACACAUUUACUCUUUUUUUUCUGUCUCCAGAAUUUCUCCUGUUUAUUUUAGAUAGCUCUUUUCAUAAGCUUAUAAGACUCAUACAGUUUGCAUUUCUUGCCCUGUAGGACCCUUUCAGAAAUUUAAUCAUCAAAUGUUUAAACAUCUGGUAAUUCUGAGUCUAAAUUUAUUCAUGA
This 2021-nucleotide long non-coding RNA is filed under the name Meleagris gallopavo (turkey). Its description in RNAcentral is "lncRNA (ENSMGAG00000018078.1)". Lineage: Eukaryota; Metazoa; Chordata; Aves; Galliformes; Phasianidae. The record is from RNAcentral.